UACGGAGGGGGCGAGCGUUGUUCGGAAUCACUGGGCGUAAAGCGCGCGUAGGCGGCUUUGCAAGUGCGGCGUGAAAGUCCUGGGCUCAACCUGGGGACGGCGCUGCGGACUGCAUGGCUGGAGUCCGGAAGAGGGUGGUGGAAUUCCGAGUGUAGAGGUGAAAUUCGUAGAUAUUCGGAAGAACACCAGUGGCGAAGGCGACUCACUGGACAUGUAUUGACGCUGAGGUACGAAAGCGUGGGGAGCAAACAGG
RNAcentral lists this ribosomal RNA (253 nucleotides) under uncultured bacterium. RNAcentral's name for it is "partial 16S ribosomal RNA". It matches the Rfam family "Bacterial small subunit ribosomal RNA", at positions 524 to 776 of the family's 1533-position model. The record is from RNAcentral.